UACGAAGGGGGCUAGCGUUGUUCGGAAUUGCUGGGCGUAAAGCGCGCGUAGGCGGUGAUCUUUGUCAGAGGUGAAAGCCUGGGGCUCAACUCCAGAAUUGCCUUUGAAACGGGAUCGCUUGAGUCCGAGAGAGGAUGGCGGAAUUCCUAGUGUAGAGGUGAAAUUCGUAGAUAUUAGGAAGAACACCGGUGGCGAAGGCGGCCAUCUGGCUCGGUACUGACGCUCAGGCGCGAAAGCGUGGGGAGCAAACAGG
RNAcentral lists this ribosomal RNA (253 nucleotides) under uncultured bacterium. Its description in RNAcentral is "partial 16S ribosomal RNA". It matches the Rfam family "Bacterial small subunit ribosomal RNA", at positions 524 to 776 of the family's 1533-position model. The record is from RNAcentral.